This 556-nucleotide long non-coding RNA is filed under the name Bos taurus (domestic cattle). Its description in RNAcentral is "long non-coding RNA NONBTAT005001". The record is from RNAcentral. Lineage: Eukaryota; Metazoa; Chordata; Mammalia; Artiodactyla; Bovidae.
GGCCUCGGAGCUAAGUAUCUCCUUGAACAGUUGAUUUAUUUUUAGUUCUGUGAAAGGAGGCUGGAGAGACAGAACUUAAAUAUUCAAGGAGUUUUCUACAUUUUUAAAAAAGAGAAAACCUCCGGAUUGCACCCUCUGAAAGAAAUGUCAAGAUGCAUCGUGUUUUCCACCAAGGCAGGAUUUUUCUUCUAAUCAGUUGGAACCCCCCGCCCCCAAAUUCAGAAUUAAGAGUCUUCCCUUAGAGGAAGCCUCAGGCUCUCCCAUUGCCGUGGUUAAAUUAUGCAGAGAAGGUCACUGGGUCCCGAGGCUGCUGCCCGGCGUGUCUUCCCGGUGGACAGGGCGCCCUGCCACUCUUCAUUAGGCCGUGAGCCCGCGGCGCACCACCUCGGGUCAGGAUGUUGGUGUGUGUACACCACGCAGUCAUUUAUCAAUGGAGAGUACCUGGGAGUCACCUUAGAAGGUGUGUGGAGCAGAUGGCUAAUUUAAAGUCAGUCUGUAAAUGCGCUCGGCCUUCCAAAAUACCCCUUUCUUGAACCUUCUAGUGUGAAAUCCAGCA